UUUUGAAAGAAUUUCGGUGGAGGAUGACUUCGCGGCCUAUCAGCUAGUUGGUGAGGUAAUGGCUCACCAAGGCAACGACGGGUAGCCGGCCUGAGAGGGCGACUGGCCACUCUGGGACUGAGACACGUCCCAGACUCCUACGGGAGGCAGCAGUGGGGAAUAUUGGGCAAUGGAGGAAACUCUGAC
RNAcentral lists this ribosomal RNA (186 nucleotides) under uncultured bacterium. Its description in RNAcentral is "partial 16S ribosomal RNA". It matches the Rfam family "Bacterial small subunit ribosomal RNA", at positions 198 to 387 of the family's 1533-position model. The record is from RNAcentral.